This 115-nucleotide ribosomal RNA is filed under the name Neogale vison (American mink). Lineage: Eukaryota; Metazoa; Chordata; Mammalia; Carnivora; Mustelidae. The record is from RNAcentral.
GUCUACGGCCAUACCACCCUGAACGCACCCGAUCUCGUCUGAUCUCGGAAGCUAAGCAGGGUCGGGCCUGGUUAGUACUUGGAUGGGAGAAAUGGGACAGGGAGUGCUAUUUAAA